RNAcentral lists this unclassified non-coding RNA (194 nucleotides) under soil metagenome. Its description in RNAcentral is "partial internal transcribed spacer 1". The record is from RNAcentral.
CCGAGUUUACAACUCCCAAACCCAAUGUGAACGUUACCAAACUGUUGCCUCGGCGGGAUUCCUGCCCCGGGUGCGUAGAAGCCCCGGACCAAGGCGCCCGCCGGAGGACCAAUACAAACUCUUUCUGUAGUCCCUCUGCGGACUUAUUUCUUACAUGAGCUUCUCGGAGCUAGAGAGAGUUCGAAAAUGAAUCA